This 303-nucleotide unclassified non-coding RNA is filed under the name uncultured fungus. RNAcentral describes it as "partial contains 5.8S ribosomal RNA, internal transcribed spacer 2, and large subunit ribosomal RNA". The stretch from base 1 to 52 matches the Rfam family "5.8S ribosomal RNA", at positions 103 to 154 of the family's 154-position model. Lineage: Eukaryota; Fungi. The record is from RNAcentral.
AACGCAUCUUGCGCUCCUUGGUAUUCCGAGGAGCAUGCCUGUUUGAGUGUCGUGAAUACUCUCAAACUCAAGUUUUCUUAACGGGGAGCUUGGGUUUGGACUUGGACGCUGCUGUGAACUUGUUCACGGCUCGUCUCGAAAUCCAUUAGCUGGUCCACCUCGGUGUUAACAAACGGUGUGAUAAGAAACAUUCAUUUGUGACUGUAGCGCUGCUGUUAUUCGUUGGGGACUGCUUCCAAUCGUCGCAAGACAACAUUCAUGUCAUCUGACCUCAAAUCAGGUAGGACUACCCGCUGAACUUAA